RNAcentral lists this ribosomal RNA (303 nucleotides) under uncultured bacterium. Its description in RNAcentral is "partial 16S ribosomal RNA". It matches the Rfam family "Bacterial small subunit ribosomal RNA", at positions 507 to 807 of the family's 1533-position model. The record is from RNAcentral.
AGCAGUCGCCGCGGUAAGACGGAGGGUGCUAGCGUUGUUCGGAAUCACUGGGCGUAAAGGGCGCGUAGGCGGCCUGUUAAGUCGGAUGUGAAAGCCCGGGGCUCAACCCCGGAAUUGCAUCCGAGACUGGCAGGCUUGAGACCGGGAGAGGAGGGUGGAAUAUCCAGUGUAGAGGUGAAAUUCGUAGAUAUUGGAUGGAACACCGGUGGCGAAAGCGGCUCUCUGGCCCGGAUCUGACGCUGAGGCGCGAAAGCGUGGGGAGCAAACAGGAUUAGAUACCCCUGUAGUCCCUGUCUCUUAUAC